UGCAUUAGCUAGUUGGUAAGGUAACGGCUUACCAAGGCAACGAUGCAUAGCCGACCUGAGAGGGUGAUCGGCCACACUGGAACUGAGACACGGUCCAGACUCCUACGGGAGGCAGCAGUAGGGAAUCUUCCGCAAUGGGCGAAAGCCUGACGGAGCAACGCCGCGUGAGUGAUGAAGGUCUUCGGAUCGUAAAACUCUGUUAUUAGGGAAGAACAUAUGUGUAAGUAACUGUGCACAUCUUGACGGUACCUAAUCAGAAAGCCACGGCUAACUACGUGCCAGCAGCCGCGGUAAUACGUAGGUGGCAAGCGUUAUCCGGAAUUAUUGGGCGUAAAGCGCGCGUAGGCGGUUUUUUAAGUCUGAUGUGAAAGCCCACGGCUCAACCGUGGAGGGUCAUUGGAAACUGG
This 407-nucleotide ribosomal RNA is filed under the name Staphylococcus aureus. RNAcentral describes it as "bacterial SSU rRNA". It matches the Rfam family "Bacterial small subunit ribosomal RNA", at positions 237 to 636 of the family's 1533-position model. The record is from RNAcentral. Lineage: Bacteria; Bacillati; Bacillota; Bacilli; Caryophanales; Staphylococcaceae.